This is a long non-coding RNA of Trematomus bernacchii (emerald rockcod), 326 nucleotides long. RefSeq lists it as uncharacterized. The record is from RefSeq and is a predicted model, not a curated record. Lineage: Eukaryota; Metazoa; Chordata; Actinopteri; Perciformes; Nototheniidae. The transcript has 3 exons.
AAUAAACCAGGGGAAGCUAACCAACAAGCAUCAUCCUACAGCCUUGCCACAUCUGGUUACAAUUCUUGGUGGAAUGUAUGAGCCAGCUGCUGUGACAUAUCACCUGGGGCCUGCAAAUCACUUUGUGGCAUUCCACAAAUUGGGUUUAGAUAGAAGCUGGCAUUUCUAUGAUGGCCUUGAAGAAAAUGAAAAGCCUGGAAGAGGAGAUACCGUCAUCAAAGAGACGACCAUCCAAAGAAAACUUGGGGCUAACUCCCGUGUUGGCCACAUUGUUAUGGUCCGGGACAAAGCAGCAGAAGCUGUUCAAAGUGGAUGAAAGACUGAAG